GAUGAAGAACGCAGCGAAAUGCGAUACUUGGUGUGAAUUGCAGAAUCCCGUGAACCAUCGAGUCUUUGAACGCAAGUUGCGCCCGAAGCCACUAGGCCGAGGGCACGCCUGCCUGGGCGUCACACGUCGUUGCCCCCCCCCCAUCUACUCCUUCGGGAUUGCGGGGGGCGGAUGAUGGCCUCCCGUGCGCCUAGCCGCGCGGUUGGCAUAAAUACCAAGUCCUCGGCGACGCACGCCACGACAAUCGGUGGUUGCGAAACCUCGGUUGCCCGUCGUGUGCGUUCGUCGCGCAUCGAGGGCUCGAAAAAAUGCUCGGCUCCGGCUCGGCUUUCAACGCGACCCCAGGUCAGGCGGGGUUACCCGCUGAAUUUAAGCACAUCAAUAAGCGGAGGA
Molecule: unclassified non-coding RNA, 393 nt
Filed under: soil metagenome
Description: partial contains 5.8S ribosomal RNA, internal transcribed spacer 2, and large subunit ribosomal RNA
Rfam family: 5.8S ribosomal RNA (bases 1-122)
Source: RNAcentral